CAGUCGAACGGGAGAGAAGGAGCUUGCUUCUUCGAUCGAGUGGCGAACGGGUGAGUAACGCGUGAGGAACCUGCCUCAAAGAGGGGGACAACAGUUGGAAACGACUGCUAAUACCGCAUAAGCCCACGGGUCGGCAUCGACCUGAGGGAAAAGGAGCAAUCCGCUUUGAGAUGGCCUCGCGUCCGAUUAGCUAGUUGGUGAGGUAAUGGCCCACCAAGGCGACGAUCGGUAGCCGGACUGAGAGGUUGAACGGCCACAUUGGGACUGAGACACGGCCCAGACUCCUACGGGAGGCAGCAGUGGGGAAUAUUGCACAAUGGGGGAAACCCUGAUGCAGCGACGCCGCGUGGAGGAAGAAGGUCUUCGGAUUGUAAACUCCUGUUGUUGAGGAAGAUAAUGACGGUACUCAACAAGGAAGUGACGGCUAACUACGUGCCAGCAGCCGCGGUAAAACGUAGGUCACAAGCGUUGUCCGGAAUUACUGGGUGUAAAGGGAGCGCAGGCGGGAAGACAAGUUGGAAGUGAAAUCUAUGGGCUCAACCCAUAAACUGCUUUCAAAACUGUUUUUCUUGAGUAGUGCAGAGGUAGGCGGAAUUCCCGGUGUAGCGGUGGAAUGCGUAGAUAUCGGGAGGAACACCAGUGGCGAAGGCGGCCUACUGGGCACCAACUGACGCUGAGGCUCGAAAGUGUGGGUAGCAAACAGGAUUAGAUACCCUGGUAGUCCACACCGUANACGAUGAUUACUA
This 746-nucleotide ribosomal RNA is filed under the name uncultured bacterium. Its description in RNAcentral is "bacterial SSU rRNA". It matches the Rfam family "Bacterial small subunit ribosomal RNA", at positions 59 to 818 of the family's 1533-position model. The record is from RNAcentral.